This 1449-nucleotide ribosomal RNA is filed under the name uncultured organism. RNAcentral describes it as "SSU rRNA". It matches the Rfam family "Bacterial small subunit ribosomal RNA". The record is from RNAcentral.
UGAACGCUAGCUACAGGCUUAACACAUGCAAGUCGAGGGGCAUCAGGAAGAAAGCUUGCUUUCUUUGCUGGCGACCGGCGCACGGGUGAGUAACACGUAUCCAACCUGCCCUUUACUCGGGGAUAGCCUUUCGAAAGAAAGAUUAAUACCCGAUAGCAUAAUGAUUCCGCAUGGUUUCAUUAUUAAAGGAUUCCGGUAAAGGAUGGGGAUGCGUUCCAUUAGGUUGUUGGUGAGGUAACGGCCCACCAAGCCUUCGAUGGAUAGGGGUUCUGAGAGGAAGGUCCCCCACAUUGGAACUGAGACACGGUCCAAACUCCUACGGGAGGCAGCAGUGAGGAAUAUUGGUCAAUGGGCGCUAGCCUGAACCAGCCAAGUAGCGUGAAGGAUGAAGGCUCUAUGGGUCGUAAACUUCUUUCAUAUAAGAAUAAAGUGCAGUAUGUAUACUGUUUUGUAUGUAUUAUAUGAAUAAGGAUCGGCUAACUCCGUGCCAGCAGCCGCGGUAAUACGGAGGAUCCGAGCGUUAUCCGGAUUUAUUGGGUUUAAAGGGAGCGUAGGUGGACUGGUAAGUCAGUUGUGAAAGUUUGCGGCUCAACCGUAAAAUUGCAGUUGAUACUGUCAGUCUUGAGUACAGUAGAGGUGGGCGGAAUUCGUGGUGUAGCGGUGAAAUGCUUAGAUAUCACGAAAAACUCCGAUUGCGAAGGCAGCUCACUGGACUGCAACUGACACUGAUGCUCGAAAGUGUGGGUAUCAAACAGGAUUAGAUACCCUGGUAGUCCACACAGUAAACGAUGAAUACUCGCUGUUUGCGAUAUACAGUAAGCGGCCAAGCGAAAGCAUUAAGUAUUCCACCUGGGGAGUACGCCGGCAACGGUGAAACUCAAAGGAAUUGACGGGGGCCCGCACAAGCGGAGGAACAUGUGGUUUAAUUCGAUGAUACGCGAGGAACCUUACCCGGGCUUAAAUUGCAGUGGAAUGAUGUGGAAACAUGUCAGUGAGCAAUCACCGCUGUGAAGGUGCUGCAUGGUUGUCGUCAGCUCGUGCCGUGAGGUGUCGGCUUAAGUGCCAUAACGAGCGCAACCCUUAUCUUUAGUUACUAACAGGUUAUGCUGAGGACUCUAGAGAGACUGCCGUCGUAAGAUGUGAGGAAGGUGGGGAUGACGUCAAAUCAGCACGGCCCUUACGUCCGGGGCUACACACGUGUUACAAUGGGGGGUACAGAAGGCAGCUAGCGGGUGACCGUAUGCUAAUCCCAAAAUCCUCUCUCAGUUCGGAUCGAAGUCUGCAACCCGACUUCGUGAAGCUGGAUUCGCCAGUAAUCGCGCAUCAGCCACGGCGCGGUGAAUACGUUCCCGGGCCUUGUACACACCGCCCGUCAAGCCAUGGGAGCCGGGGGUACCUGAAGUACGUAACCGCAAGGAUCGUCCUAGGGUAAAACUGGUGACUGGGGCU